AUACGGAGGGGGCUAGCGUUGUUCGGAAUUACUGGGCGUAAAGCGCGUGUAGGCGGAUCGUUAAGUCAGGGGUGAAAGCCCGGAGCUCAACUUCGGAAUUGCCCUUGAUACUGGCGAUCUAGAGGCCGGGAGAGGUGAGCGGAAUUCCCAGUGUAGAGGUGAAAUUCGUAGAUAUUGGGAGGAACACCAGUGGCGAAGGCGGCUCACUGGCCCGGUUCUGACGCUGAGACGCGAAAGCGUGGGGAGCAAACAGGAUUAGAUACCCUAGUAGUCC
RNAcentral lists this ribosomal RNA (274 nucleotides) under uncultured bacterium. Its description in RNAcentral is "partial 16S ribosomal RNA". It matches the Rfam family "Bacterial small subunit ribosomal RNA", at positions 523 to 796 of the family's 1533-position model. The record is from RNAcentral.